Molecule: ribosomal RNA, 271 nt
Filed under: uncultured Planctomycetota bacterium
Lineage: Bacteria; Pseudomonadati; Planctomycetota
Description: uncultured planctomycete partial 16S ribosomal RNA
Rfam family: Bacterial small subunit ribosomal RNA
Source: RNAcentral
AAGCGGUGGAGCAUGUGGCUUAAUUCGAGGCUACGCGAAGAACCUUAUCCUGGAUUUGACAUGUGCGAAAGCGCCAGGUAGUAGGACCCGGAAACGGGAACGAACCCCGCAAGGGGGAGCCUGGUACAGGUGCUGCAUGGCUGUCGUCAGCUCGUGUCGUGAGAUGUCGGGUUAAGUCCCAUAACGAGCGAAACCCUUACCCUUAGUUGCAACCAUUCAGUUGGGCACUCUAGGGGGACUGCCGGUGUUAAACCGGAGGAAGGUGGGGAUG